AGGUUCGCUUCGGUGAAAAGGGAAACAGGUGCAAAUCCUGUACGAACUCGUCACCGUAAUCAGGGAGCAGACGCCGAGAUAUCACUGGGAAACUGGGAAGAUGGCCGAUGCGAUGAUCUUUAAGCCGGGAGACCUGCCUGAAU
This 143-nucleotide non-coding RNA is filed under the name pig gut metagenome. The record is from RNAcentral.